RNAcentral lists this ribosomal RNA (253 nucleotides) under uncultured bacterium. RNAcentral describes it as "partial 16S ribosomal RNA". It matches the Rfam family "Bacterial small subunit ribosomal RNA", at positions 524 to 776 of the family's 1533-position model. The record is from RNAcentral.
UACAGAGGGGGCAAGCGUUGUUCGGAAUUACUGGGCGUAAAGGGCGCGUAGGCGGCCUGUUAAGUCGAACGUGAAAUCCCCGGGCUCAACCCGGGAACUGCGUCUGAUACUGGAUGGCUUGAAUCCGGGAGAGGGAUGCAGAAUUCCAGGUGUAGCGGUGAAAUGCGUAGAUAUCUGGAGGAAUACCGAUGGCGAAGGCAAUCCCCUGGGCCUGCACUGACGCUCAUGCACGAAAGCGUGGGGAGCAAACAGG